This is a long non-coding RNA of Cyanistes caeruleus (blue tit), 997 nucleotides long. The record is from Ensembl. Lineage: Eukaryota; Metazoa; Chordata; Aves; Passeriformes; Paridae.
CUGGAGAACAUCAGAAGGUCCUGGAGGACAUCAGGAGGUUCUGGAGGACACCAGGAGGUCCUGGAGGACAUCAGGAGGUUCUGGAGAACAUCAGGAGGUCCUGGAGGACGUGGGGAGGUUCUGGAGGACACCAGGAAGUUCUGGAGAACAUCAGGAGCUCCUGGAGGACACCAGGAGGUUCUGGAGGACCCCAGGAGGUUCUGGAGGACACCAGGAGGUUCUGAAGAACAUCAGGAGCUCCUGGAGGACACCAGGAGGUUCUGGAGGACCCCAGGAGGUUCUGGAGAACAUCAGGAGGUUCUGGAGGAUCCCAGGAGGUUCUGGAGGAUCCCAGGAGGUUCUGGAGAACAUGGGAGGGUUCUGGGGGACUUGGGAAACUCCUGGAAGAUGUCCUGGAGACCGUGGAAGGUUCUGGAGAACAUCAGGAGGUUCUGGAGAACAUCGAGGAGCCCUGGAAGGUUCUGGAGAACAUCGAGGAGGUUCUGGAGAACACCGAGGAGCUCUGGAAGGUUCUGGAGAGCACCGAGGAGCCCUGGAGGUCCCCGCUGGCCCGGGCCGGUGGCCGCGCUGGCUCAGAGGCCGUCGGGGCGCUGGUAGCGCCAGAAGGCGAUGUCACCGUCGUCCCCGCAGGUGGCCAGCAGCCCCGGCUCCCGCGGGUGCCACGCCACGCCGUUGACGUCCUGCGCGUGCGCCCGCGGCACGUGGGCCACCAGCCCGAAGGUGACCGGGGACACCGGGGACACCGGGGACACCUCCUCGAACACCCGCACCGCGUCGUCACCGCACGCCGUGGCCACCGCGCCCGUCAGGUGACACCUGCAGCGCCACCGGGGACGGUGUCACCCCGGGGACACGGAGGGGACAGGGAGGGGACACCAGGAGGGGACAGGGGUGACCAAGGAGGGGACAGGGGGAAGGGACAGGGGUGACCAGGGAGGGGACACCGGGUGGGGACACCAGGAGGGGACACAGGGUGGGGACAGGACCCCAGGGUGGG